Molecule: non-coding RNA, 30 nt
Filed under: Rattus norvegicus (Norway rat)
Lineage: Eukaryota; Metazoa; Chordata; Mammalia; Rodentia; Muridae
Source: RNAcentral
UCAAUUGAGGAGAAUAUCCUAAGCUGUGAA